GGACUACUGGGGUAUCUAAUCCUGUUUGCUCCCCACGCUUUCGCGUCUCAGCGUCAGUUGUCGUCCAGAUGGCCGCCUUCGCCACCGGUGUUCCUCCUGAUAUCUACGAAUUUCACCUCUACACCAGGAAUUCCGCCAUCCUCUCCGACACUCAAGACCCACAGUUUCGAGCGCAGUUCCCAGGUUGAGCCUGGGGAUUUCACGCCCGACUUAUGGAUCCGCCUACACGCGCUUUACGCCCAGUAAUUCCGAGCAACGUUCGCACCCUCUGUAUUACCGCGGCGGCUGGCAC
RNAcentral lists this ribosomal RNA (292 nucleotides) under uncultured bacterium. RNAcentral's name for it is "partial 16S ribosomal RNA". The record is from RNAcentral.